AGCUGGCUCCCCUGGAAAAGGUACGAAUUGAGAUUAGCAGAAAAGCUGAGAAGAGGACCACUUUGGUGCUAUGGGGUGGCCUUGCCUACAUGGCCACACAGUUUGGCAUUUUGGCCCGGCUUACCUGGUGGGAAUAUUCCUGGGACAUCAUGGAGCCAGUAACAUACUUCAUCACUUAUGGAAGUGCCAUGGCAAUGUAUGCAUAUUUUGUAAUGACACGCCAGGAGUAUGUUUAUCCAGAAGCCAGAGACAGACAAUACUUAUUAUUUUUCCAUAAAGGAGCCAAAAAGUCACGUUUUGACCUAGAGAAAUACAAUCAACUCAAGGAUGCAAUUGCUCAGGCAGAAAUGGACCUUAAGAGACUGAGAGACCCAUUACAAGUACAUCUGCCUCUCCGACAAAUUGGUGAAAAAGAUUGAUCUGCAAAAAGCCUCUGAAUCCUGGCAGAAGGAACACCUGUUUGCCUUUUUAAUUAAAGCAUUGCAGGUGGAAGCUGGGAGCCAUGUGGGGGGUUUAAUUAUAAAACAAAAACAGAAAGGAUCUGAGGGAAGAAGGGAAUGUUAAAAACUGAGGAUCAGGCAUUGUGGAAUAUAAGCUCAAAGGGCUUAGUGAAUAUUGUCUUAACCAAGUAUCUCAGUUUCUGGAUGAAAAUGAUGCAGUUAUAUAGUUGAGAGAUUCAUAAAGAGAAAACAAUUCUGGGGGUGUUCGUUUCUUGCAUCUUCUUUGCAGAGUCAGCAAAAGAGUAACACACCAGCACCCCACUCGACUCUAUUUGUUUUUAAUUUAACUGUCCCUAUUUUUGACAUAGGAUUAAAUAAAUAUACCAGAAAAGCAAAUUCUCAUGAUAUGCUAAAAUAUCAUUAGCAUUUAUUUUAAAUUGGACCCAGUCUCUGCAGAGUUACCAGGAAUCUCUCCCUCCUGCAUUCCUUUACUGACCACCUACCUGUACCUCUUGGCUACACUCAUUUUUUCCAUUUGAUAAUUGGAACCAACUUACAACUGUUUAAUAAUUGAUACUUUAGAUUAUCUCUUAAUACCUUCUUAAAUGUCUAUAUAUCCCAGUGCUCUGGAUCAGUGUCUAAAAAUCAUUGGCAACGCUGCAUGAGGUUGUUGGUUUUGUUUUGUUUUGUUUUAUUAAUUAGUCUUUCAUAGGAGGAAAAAUUGCCCUCCUUUAUAUACUUAUCUAUUGAUAAUCCCCUCUCCCUCCACAACACAAAUCAGAGGGAAGGGGGGUGUUCAGCUGUACUACCAAAUCAGGAAGAUGUAAGGUUUACAAAUUGGCUAAAAAUCAUGGCUCUGUAGCCAUUUCAACCAGAAUAAUUUUAUUGCUAAUCUGCUUUGUGUGACAGCAUUCCAGGCCAGCCAGAUGGCACUGCCUUGUCUGGAGGCUUUGUUCAUCUCGAAGGACACACACUUCCACACUGUUUGUGAGCCCUCCCACCUCCACAACUUCAGUUGUAAAUCCAGUGUGUGGAUCUCAAAGGGUGCAAUUUAUCUUUAUAUAGGAAUACAUUUCUAGGGCCUCCUUCAGCCCACUCUCUUCACCCUAUUUUUUCUUAUCUUAAAUUGAGAGAAAGAGAAUUAAUCUUACACUUUGUCAAAACAUUUUCUACCAUAUUUCCAGAUGACAUCUGCGCUUGAAGAGUCAAAGGAAUCUGUGUCUAAUACCCUGUUUUUAACUGCUGUAGGGGCAGGAUGGAAAGGAUGAUGGGGGCUGCCACACCACUGAUUGGCCUUUUCUUUCACGUGAUUCAUCCUUCCUCAUUGUGGCAAGGACUUUUUCUCUUUUUCUUCCUCCUUUGGGAUCAUUGUGUAUGAAAAGAAAAACUUUAAAUGACAAACCCAGACUCCAGGUGCCUUGCAAAGGUUGAAGGCCAGCCAGGAUUGCUGCUGCUGCUACUCCUGCCACCACCCCUUUCAUUGGCAUGAUGGAAUGAAAGGAUGCAUGUCUCCACUUCCUGACCCUCCGCCCACUUCCUUCUCCCUCCACCACCCUCAGUCGUCAGCUCCUUCCCUCAUUUAUUUUUGUUAAGUUGUGUGAAUUAUUUUUAAACCAUUUAUCCUGUUUAUGCAUAGGGUUUUUAAGAAGAAACAGCAGAGUGCAAUGAGCAAAUCUUUUCGGGGUGUGUGGGAAGCAAGGGAGGGAGGACAUGGAGAAAAGUUCUUUAAACAAAUAGCAAACUAUUGAACAUGUGUAAAAUCCUGUAUCAUUUAUGAAAUAUGUAUAAAAAGCAAUGUACCUUCUGGAACAAUAAAUACUUAUUCAAUUUUU
Molecule: small RNA, 2272 nt
Filed under: Pongo abelii (Sumatran orangutan)
Lineage: Eukaryota; Metazoa; Chordata; Mammalia; Primates; Hominidae
Description: processed transcript
Source: RNAcentral